UCAGCCGUACAGUUGAGAUUACAUGGUUUAAAAGAACGACCACAAGGUGGUGGAAUGGUUCGUUGGCUGGAAAAACAGGCCAUCAUACAACAUGGAGCGUCCCGGUGGUCUGCCCUCACAAGUCAGUACAAGUUAAACCUCCACGCUUUGCUCUCCAAUUAUAAUGGAACAUCUAGUAAUUUGAAAUAAUUUCUAGUAGUUUGAUACUCUGUCCUUUUUCUGUCAGCAGGAGCCAGUGUCCAUGUGAGUGAUGCUACUUUAGCUGUUGGUAGCCAAGUCCUUGUAUUUUUAAUGUCACACUUUAAGAAAGUAUAUUCAGUCCAUGAAAAUGAUCUCUACGGUGGUUCUUACAGUAUCUGUUCUGCCUAACAGGUUCCAAUCAAAUUCUAAAGUCACGUUGCCGAUUGAUAAUAUUUUUGUAGUGUGUAAAAUAUUCUGAUAUGCCUUUUACUUUAUUCACUAAGUGAAUAUAAUUUAGUCAAAUAAACUGCCUUUCAAUUGUAAUUUAUUGAAUUUCUAUAUGUAUAAAUGACCUUAUAUUUACACACAGGACAGAGCAGCUGACUGAUGGAUUGGGGUCACAUGUUAUUUUACUUACUGGAGGAUCAGGACCUUUCAGAUCUCAUCAACCCUCUGAUCUGAUGGAGCGGCUGCUGGAACACACUGACCCUCUACAACAGGGGUCCUCAAAUCCAGACAUCGAUUUCGGUGUCCUGCAUCAUUUACAUAUGUUCCUAGUCCAAGCCACCUGAAUCAAAUGGCUGCUUGAGGUCCUGAGAAUGACCUCAGGAUUUGAGUCGGAUGUGUUAAAGCAGACCUGCUUCCAGAUUGUGUGUCAUCACUGUUACAGCAGUCCUGACACCCGGGACCUGUAACACAGAGACAUCUAAACAUUGGAGAACACCGAACCCUCCUGAACUGGAGGUUCAGCUGUUGGAUUCAAGUGUGUUGGAUCAGGGAAACGACUAAGAGUUGCAGGACACCUGACCUCCAGGACCAUUGCUGCCCAUCCCUGCCCUAGAAGCUAAUGAAGAGAAAUACUAAAUUUAAACAAAAAAAUAG
Long non-coding RNA from Poecilia latipinna (sailfin molly), 1062 nucleotides. RefSeq lists it as uncharacterized. The record is from RefSeq and is a predicted model, not a curated record. The transcript has 2 exons. Lineage: Eukaryota; Metazoa; Chordata; Actinopteri; Cyprinodontiformes; Poeciliidae.